This 69-nucleotide transfer RNA is filed under the name bovine gut metagenome. The stretch from base 3 to 64 matches the Rfam family "tRNA", at positions 6 to 65 of the family's 71-position model. From Rfam's summary of the family: Transfer RNA (tRNA) molecules are approximately 80 nucleotides in length. Their secondary structure includes four short double-helical elements and three loops (D, anti-codon, and T loops). Further hydrogen bonds mediate the characteristic L-shaped molecular structure. tRNAs have two regions of fundamental functional importance: the anti-codon, which is responsible for specific mRNA codon recognition, and the 3' end, to which the tRNAs corresponding amino acid is attached (by aminoacyl-tRNA synthetases). tRNAs cope with the degeneracy of the genetic code in two manners: having more than one tRNA (with a specific anti-codon) for a particular amino acid; and 'wobble' base-pairing, i.e. permitting non-standard base-pairing at the 3rd anti-codon position. The record is from RNAcentral.
UCCAUAGCUCAGUUGGUAGAGCGUCCGGCUGUUAACCGGAGGGUCGCAGGUUCGAGCCCUGCUGUUCCC